This 647-nucleotide ribosomal RNA is filed under the name uncultured bacterium. RNAcentral describes it as "bacterial SSU rRNA". It matches the Rfam family "Bacterial small subunit ribosomal RNA", at positions 8 to 673 of the family's 1533-position model. The record is from RNAcentral.
AGAGUUUGAUCCUGGCUCAGGACGAACGCUGGCGGCAUGCCUAACACAUGCAAGUCGAACGAGAAAGUUCCUUCGGGAGCGAUUAAAGUGGCGCACGGGUGAGUAACGCGUAGACAAUCUGCCCUUCAGUCCGGGACAACUUUUCGAAAGAAGAGCUAAUACCGGAUAACAAUGUUUAACCUAAGUUAAGUAUUUGAAAGCUUUAUGUGCUGAAGGAGGGGUCUGCGUCCCAUUAGCUAGUUGGUAAGGUAAAGGCUUACCAAGGCAACGAUGGGUAGCGGGUUUGAGAGGACGAUCCGCCACACUGGAACUGAGACACGGUCCAGACUCCUACGGGAGGCAGCAGUGGGGAAUAUUGCACAAUGGAGGCAACUCUGAUGCAGCAAUGUCGCGUGAGUGAAGAAGGCCCUUGGGUCGUAAAGCUCUUUUAUGGGGGAAGAUGAUGACGGUACCCCAAGAAUAAGCACCGGCUAACUAUGUGCCAGCAGCCGCGGUAAUACAUAGGGUGCGAGCGUUGUUCGGAAUUACUGGGCGUAAAGGGCGCGCAGGCGGAAUAGUAAGUCGGAGGUGAAAGCCCGGGGCUCAACCCCGGAGGGUCUUUCGAAACUGCUAAUCUAGAGAGGGUCAGGGGCCGGCAGAAUUCCUGG